This 420-nucleotide ribosomal RNA is filed under the name uncultured bacterium. Its description in RNAcentral is "partial 16S ribosomal RNA". It matches the Rfam family "Bacterial small subunit ribosomal RNA", at positions 360 to 772 of the family's 1533-position model. The record is from RNAcentral.
AAUAUUGGACAAUGGGGGCAACCCUGAUCCAGCCAUGCCGCGUGUGUGAAGAAGGUCAUCGAAAUCUAACGCACUUUCAGUCGGGAGGAGGGGCUUUACGUUAAUACCCUUAUUCUUUGACGUUACCAAUAGAAUACGCGCCGGCUAACUGUGUACCAGCAUCCGCGGUAGUACAGACGGUGCAAGCGUUAAUCGGAAUUACUGGGCGUAAAGCGCGCGUAGGUGGUUCAGUAAGAUGGGUGUGAAAUCCCCGGGCUUAACCUGGGAACUGCUUUCAUAACUGCUGAGCUAGAGUACGGUAGAGGGUAGUGGAAUUUCCUGUGUAGCGGUGAAAUGCGUAGAUAUAGGAAGGAACACCAGUGGCGAAGGCGACUACCUGGACUGAUACUGACACUGAGGUGCGAAAGCGUGGGGAGCAAA